AAGGUUGCAACAUGUUUCAAUUGUCUCAGGCUUUCAGCGUUCGCUCGUCAAUUACAGAACAAAGGAGGAUAUGAUAUUGCGUCAUAAGAGGUUUUUGCUGUUCGUUUCGAGCAUUGGUCUUGCGUCCCGUCAGCGCUUCAGAGACAUCGCUUUCGCCGAAAUUCAGUGAAUUUUGAAGUCCACCAUUAUCGUGGGUCACCAGAAGAACUCAGACUGCAACCCGUCAUUGACUGUCUAUUGUGCGACGCGACACUGUGUGGCAUAAAGCAUGCGUACGUGUGGAAUACUUCGCUACUGUGUGCGCGGGAUGUUUUGUAUGAUUGUGUCGACACUGGAUACC
Long non-coding RNA from Ornithodoros turicata, 340 nucleotides. RefSeq lists it as uncharacterized. NCBI's taxonomy places the organism in Eukaryota, Metazoa, Arthropoda, Arachnida, Ixodida, Argasidae. The transcript is spliced from 3 exons. The record is from RefSeq and is a predicted model, not a curated record.